ACUCAUUCUGACAGAAGCAGAGAUAAAACAGACUAAGUACACAGAGGAGUUUAAGGUUUCGUGAAUGUAAGUGCUGAGUACAGAAUGGUGCUCAAUAAAAGCUUGUUAAUUGAUGGACCACAGGUUUGUGACAAGACUUCUCAGAGUCUGAUUCUUUCAAGGUGGGAUAUAAGAGUAAGUAAAUGGCAUGGGGAAAAUCUGAUUGCCACAGACAGAAGAAUGAAACUGGAUGCCUAUUUCUCACAAUACACAAAAGCGAUUCAAGAUUAAAGACUUAACUAUACCUUGACUAUGAAUAAUAGUUUCAAUAAGGAAGACAGAAUGAGUUCUGACACGAUGGUUGGGAGCUGUGACAGGCAGACGAAAAAUGGAGCCAAAUGGCAUGGAGGUGUGUCAUCACUGCUGGAUUUUACCUUGAUCUACAUUCAGUUAUCUACUUCUUUUCAAAAUGCUGGGCAUUCAUUCAAGAAACAGCAUAUAUGUUCUGACUUUGAAGUAAUGGAUGAACUGUCAUGUGCAGUAUAUGGAAAUAAGUUUUAUUACCUUCUUCCCACAUUAACUCAUCCAUCCAUUCAAUAGCCAUUUAUUGAGAAGCUCACUCUGUGUUAGGCACAGUGGUGUCAUGAUGUUGGAACAGUAACAAUAACUCAACCAACCAGGGCUUGUCUGAAUACAAUCCUACAGCAGCAGGAGCUGUGGAGAUAUAGAAGGCAAGGAAGACCAGGUUGUGAGGGAAGACGAAUUUACUCCCAGGAAUGUUGGGAUUGAGAGUAAUAUUCUCCAAUAAUGGUGGAAGACAGAACAAUAAAAGCCCACCAGCUCCUUCUGCAUGGUGGGAUAAGAGAAAAGCCAAGGGCAGAAGUGAGAAAAAUAACCAUCACCAAACUGAAAAGAAAACCUUUAUAAAAAAACUGGAUUGAUAAAUGACCUUUAGUAGUGGAAAGAUACCAUUCCAAUGAAGCAUGAAUUGAAAGGAUUUCUUCUGAAAGCUAAUUUACAUUUUUCUUUUUUUUUUUUUCAUUUUCAGUGUGUUUUAGCAGGUGUAUUGUUCUACAUGGUUAGUUUCUUUACCUCUUUGAGAAAAAUGGGUCAGCUUGACACAUCUGGAUGAAAGAAUCCGUUAGGUGAUUAUGAUUGAAGACAGAUUAAGCCUUGUUAUGAGGGGAAUAUUUGGGGGCUUACCCUGAGGUGAUAUUUGAUGAUUUAGCUGUGGGAGAAUUUCCCUCCCAAGAUCAGCGUGACUGACACUGAAAUUGCUACAGGGGAACCGGACCUUUCCAAGAGGUGACAAGGACAUUUACCUGGUACAACACAAUGGUUCUGGACUGGAAGUCUAGUCCCAUUGAUGAAGUUCCCAAAAGAUGUCCAGGUCCUAAUCCCUGGAAUCUGUGAAUAUGUCAUCUUACACAUCAAAAGAACUUUGAAAAUGUGAUUGAGGUUAAGGACCUUGGAAUGAGGAGAUUACCUUGGAUUAUCUGGUUGGGUCCAAGCUAAUCACAUGAGUCCUUAAAGGAGAAGAACCUUUUUUAGCUGGGUCAGAGAGAGAUGUGAUGAUGAAAACAGGCUCAGGGAGAUGCACUGUAAGAAGGGCUUGACCAGUUGUUUUUGACUUUGAAGAUGGAGGGAAGGGCCAGGAGCCAAGGAAGGUGGGUGGCUUUUGGAAGGUGGAAAAAGCAAGGGAACAUUCUCUCCAGAGCCUCCAGAAAGGAGCUCAGCCCUGUUGACAUCUUUGUUUUUAUUUUUUAUUUUUAGUAGCAUUGAGGUCUCACUAUGUUGCACAGGCUGGUCUUGAACUCUUGAGCUCAAGCACUCCUCCCGCCUUGGCUUCCCAAAGUGCUGGGAUUAUAGGCAUGUGCCACCACAUCUGGCUUCCUACUGACAUCUUAACUUUAGUGCAGUGAGACUCAUAUUUGAAUUUCUGACCUUAUAUUAUAGAACCAUAAGACAUUAUAGAAUUAUAUAGAAUUAUAGAACCAUAAGACAAUAACUUUGUGUUGUUUUAAGAUACUAAAUUUUUGGUAAUUUGUUAUGGCAGCACAAUAAAACCAAUAUAGCAUUAUAUUAUGC
Molecule: long non-coding RNA, 2067 nt
Filed under: Homo sapiens (human)
Lineage: Eukaryota; Metazoa; Chordata; Mammalia; Primates; Hominidae
Description: HSALNT0313186
Source: RNAcentral